AUGCCGUUGUCUGACAUCCGCAUGGGAACAUGGGUGCACAGCAUCGAGCUGCGCCACGGCCAGGGUGCGAAGCUCGUGCGGGCCGCCGGAGCCUACGCCAAGGUGGUCAAGGAGUCGGCCACGCAGUGCCUUGUGCGGCUGCCGUCGGGCGUCGAGAAGCUGAUCGACUCCCGCUGCCGGGCCACCAUCGGCAUCGUCUCCAACCCCACCCACGGCGCGCGGAAGCUGAGGAAGGCGGGGCACAGCCGGUGGCUGGGCAGGCGCCCGGUCGUCCGUGGUGUCGCGAUGAACCCGGUGGACCAUCCCCAUGAAGGAGGCGAGGGGCGCACCAAGGGCGGCAGGCCCUCGGUGUCGCCCUGGGGGAAGCCCACCAAGGCUGGGUACCGGACCGUGCCCAAGAAGCCAAAAGCUCAGUUGUCCCGUGAUUGA
Molecule: ribosomal RNA, 429 nt
Filed under: Triticum aestivum (bread wheat)
Lineage: Eukaryota; Viridiplantae; Streptophyta; Magnoliopsida; Poales; Poaceae
Description: partial small subunit ribosomal RNA
Source: RNAcentral